GACAUACACCGGAAGCGCCGUGAAAGCGGCGUGCCGCUUGCGGCCGGUGAACAGGUGCUGCAUGGCUGUCGUCAGCUCGUGCUGUGAAGUGUUCGGGUUAAGUCCCGCAACGAGCGCAACCCCCUGCCGUCUGUUGCCACCACGAAAGGUGGGGACUCAGGCGGGACCGCCGGUGACAAACCGAGGAAGGUGGGGACGACGUCAAGUCAUCAUGGCCCUUAUGUCCUGGGCCACACACGUGCUACAAUGGCCGGUACAGAGCGCAGCGAGGCCGCGAGGCGGAGCGAAUCGCUUAAAGCCGGUCCCAGUACGGAUUGGAGUCUGCAACCCGACUCCAUGAAGUUGGAAUCGCUAGUAAUCGCGCAUCAGCAUGGCGCGGUGAAUACGUUCCCGGGCCUU
RNAcentral lists this ribosomal RNA (399 nucleotides) under uncultured Spirochaeta sp. RNAcentral describes it as "bacterial SSU rRNA". It matches the Rfam family "Bacterial small subunit ribosomal RNA", at positions 983 to 1382 of the family's 1533-position model. The record is from RNAcentral. Lineage: Bacteria; Pseudomonadati; Spirochaetota; Spirochaetia; Spirochaetales; Spirochaetaceae.